CUUAAAUAUUCGUUAUCUAGUAAUUGAGUAUUUGGAAUCUUAAAGGUUCGAUUUUUUCUGCGCAAUUUAAUGAUAAUUGGAGACAUCUCGUUGAAAUUAAAAUAAGCGUAUAAAUUCCUCCAUUACGAAAUCAUCGAGUCUAACCUCCUGAAUGUAAAACAACUAUUACACCAGAACAAAAUAUGGAUUAAAUCGAUAUAACCAGAAGCUGCCAUGUACAAAUAUUGACAGUCCUAUGAUAAAAAUUGUUACUUGUACAUUUCCAUGACUAACAUCAAUCUGUUUGAAAACCAGCGGAAUAUUUUCAAUCAUGUGCUCAUACUUGGUAUAGGUUAGGAAACAUCUACGCAAUAUGUAAUUUGAAUCUCAUUGGACGAUAGAUCGACUUCGAGAUCGAUGACUAAGUGGGGUACGCGAAAUAAAUAGAUCAAGCUCUUCAAAUAACUUUAAUGCUUUUCGCCAUACUUCGGUAUUCGUGGAACCUAAGUUAAUAUCUAUUAUACCUUACCUUGGCGCCAAUCAUAUUGUUAUACUGUUAUAUCAUUUAGAAUAUUGAUAAACAUAUCGUUUAUUGUUUCUCUUAUUUGGCAUACACGUGCGUAAAGUUAUGUAUAGACACAGUCUUUCCAGAAUCACUCCUUCUAUUAAAUAUGUACAUCUUGGUUACAGUUAGAUUUGUUGGUUCGAUUCAACUACUUGAAAUAAUUUACAUCAACCUGACUCAAAUUAAAUCAACGGAACAUUGAAUCUUCAGAAUUCCAAAGUACCAGACUUUCGUAUUUUCAAAGUUCUGAAUUUUCAGACUUCCAAAUUCGUUUUUAUGCUUUAUCCCAUUGCGUGAUCCUUAAUCGAUUGCCAUUUAAUAAACUUACACAUACUGUGUAAAAUGAUAAUUAUCAUAGCAUCGACGAACAGUAUUGUUACAUAUAGUAUCUCCAUAAUAAAAUUUAUUAGCUUUAUAGCAUCGAAUCACACUCGUAACAUGAAUUAUACAUUAUAUUUCGAUGCAACAGAAGCAGGCUACAUUGUUAUGUAAACGUUAAUUUCAAUUCUUCAUAAGGAUCACUGAAUACAAAUUAUCAAUGUGCCGCAUCUCCGACAAGAAUGUCAAUAAAAUAGUUACAGAAACGAUCAUGAAGCAACGAGUUAGCCGCUUAUCUGGUGUUCAAUUGUCUUACAUAUAUACAAACAUACAGAUACGGCACUAAGGUCGAUUCCCAGAGGAGAGAAACCAUUUUUCCUCGAUUCUCCUGCUAGAAGCUGUCGAAUCGUUUCAAGAAAAACGACACGUCAAGCACAUACGUAUACGAUUUGCUCGCUACGAAUCAGAUAGAGAUUCGCAAACCAAAUAAAUAGAACACAAGAUAUCAGAAGAAGAACAGUGAAAUUGCUAGAUCCGGUUGCCUGGUGAGCUUUAGUUUGACAAAUCAGAUGCCCGAUACCCACGCCACCUACUACUGCUUUAAAAAUAAAUAAAACAGGAUGCUGUCGCUAUACAACACGAAACAAGAGAUUAAUCGCUGAUUUGGCCAAUGAUAAUCUACCAAACAGAAUUAAAAAAGAAUAGAUUUACGACUGUGACCAAUCAUGUCAAUGAAAUAAGGAAAUUAAACGUUAUGCUCUUUAUCUUUCUCCUCUGCGAUGUAUCCUUUAUUAGAAAUGUGAAGAACAACCAAUGUGUUUAUUAAUAAUCUACUGCAAAUAUGCAUGCUUUAUUUUUAACUGUUUCAAGACGUUAGAUACCACGUGGGUUUCAUUCUGCUUCGGCAUCGGCUCUGUUACUUUAGUUUCCGUCUUUCGCUCUCUUUUUCUAUUUUUUAUUCGCCUCUCUAUCUCUAUCCUUCGCGUCUCCAUCCCCACCACAAGUUUCAUCCUCCGCUACUCGGACUUCUACCUCUCACUGAUAAUAAAGGAUGUUUCAAUUGUCUCGGCCGAAGAUUUUCAAGUAAUACAAUUUUGAAAAUUUAGAAUUGUUUCAUAUGCCAGAUUAUAAUUCCAUGAAUGGAAGAGACUAAUUGCAAAUGACAGAAUUGCCAGUGAAAGUUUUCAUCCGGAUGAUUAGCAAUAGAAUCGUAACGGAAUUAUGGAAACUUAUCGAUGUAACGUCACAGGAAUUUUCCGAGUUUUCUGAGCCGCCUGAUAGUGAUAUUCUGUAUUCAGAUGCACAAAGAAUAAUUUGUCACGAGCAUCAUAGUGUUAUUCUACGUCUCUGAUUCGACGAAGAUUUGCAAAAAAAAUAGCCGCAAGAAUGGCCCUCAUCUUAAAAUUCAAGGUCACAAUUUUUCUUAUUGCAUCGUAUUCUUCUCAUGAGGAUAACAAAUUUCAGAAGAACACUCAGGAUCGUAACUCAACUGUCCUGUUGGGAAAAAAAUGUUAAGGUGCCAUUAGCUUUAGAACUUAUUUUACGUGUAAUAAUAAUACUUAUUUUAUUUUGCAAUCAGAUACAAGGGAAAUAGCAUCCAGUGUCGCACGUAAAUGCCCCAAAACCACGAUUAUAAAUCCCAUAUCUUCUAUUCUUCCUUUCUUGCUAUUUAAGCAGCCGGACUCGCAUUUCUAUAUUUGGCCAAGUUUCUGAGCAAGAUUGCGCCUUAAAUUUAGAUGAUGAAAAAAUUGGUAGGUCGGUCGAUGAUAAUUCUCCACCUCACACUAGUCGACUAACCCAUUAAUUUUUGAAUGAAAUGAUUGGAUCGUGGUGAAUAGGAUGUAGACUUGCUUCUCGUCUGUGACUUGCUCGUUCGCCAGUUCUAACACAAAUGGCUUUUGGAAGUCGUGAAAGAUAUCGUUCAUAGUUUGGAUAGAUGAGUUACAUCCGUUAAAUAAUUAAAACAUCGGAUUAAAUAUAGUUUUUAUUGCCUAAAGUCAAU
Long non-coding RNA from Bombus pyrosoma, 2864 nucleotides. RefSeq lists it as uncharacterized. The transcript has 4 exons. Lineage: Eukaryota; Metazoa; Arthropoda; Insecta; Hymenoptera; Apidae. The record is from RefSeq and is a predicted model, not a curated record.